GAAAACUGAGAAACCAAAAUGAAAUAUUUUUAUUUAAUAUAUAAUUAAUUUUACUGUUUCGUUGAUUCUCGAUGAAGUAUGAUUCGUGUUUACUCGAGAAGACAUUUUGAUAUCUACAUAAUUUUAAAAAAAUACAUAAAUUAAAUAUAAUCAAUCAUUAUAUUGCAAUAACUACUUUUAAUAUAAUACAUGCACAUCAAAAUAUUUUUACAUACCUUACUUGUAUUUAUUAACUUUAAAACAAAUACAAUUCUUUUUUUUUUCUUCUACUUCAAAAUUUUAAGGGGACCAAAGCUCCACCUUUCUUUUUAAAAUGUUGAAUGUCUCUCUUCUCUUCUCUUCUCU
This 345-nucleotide long non-coding RNA is filed under the name Gossypium barbadense (sea-island cotton). RNAcentral describes it as "long non-coding RNA (GBAR_LNC015044)". The record is from RNAcentral. Lineage: Eukaryota; Viridiplantae; Streptophyta; Magnoliopsida; Malvales; Malvaceae.